UGGGGAAUUUUGGACAAUGGGCGAAAGCCUGAUCCAGCAAUGCCGCGUGUGUGAAGAAGGCCUUCGGGUUGUAAAGCACUUUUGUCCGGAAAGAAAUCCUUGGCUCUAAUACAGUCGGGGGAUGACGGUACCGGAAGAAUAAGCACCGGCUAACUACGUGCCAGCAGCCGCGGUAAUACGUAGGGUGCAAGCGUUAAUCGGAAUUACUGGGCGUAAAGCGUGCGCAGGCGGUUUGCUAAGACCGAUGUGAAAUCCCCGGGCUAACCUGGGAACUGCAUUGGUGACUGGCAGGCUAGAGUAUGGCAGAGGGGGUAGAAUUCCACGUGUAGCAGUGAAAUGCGUAGAGAUGUGGAGGAAUACCGAUGGCGAAGGCAGCCCCCUGGGCCAAUACUGACGCUCAUGCACGAAAGCGUGGGGAGCAAACAGGAUUAGAUACCCUGGUAGUCACGCCCUAAACGAUGUCAACUAGUUGUUGGGGAUUCAUUUCCUUAGUAACGUAGCUAACGCGUGAAGUUGACCGCCUGGGGAGUAC
This 532-nucleotide ribosomal RNA is filed under the name uncultured bacterium. Its description in RNAcentral is "partial 16S ribosomal RNA". It matches the Rfam family "Bacterial small subunit ribosomal RNA", at positions 355 to 883 of the family's 1533-position model. The record is from RNAcentral.